UCUUGAAAAAAUUCUAAAGAAGAUGGCGGAAGCUGGGUUUGAACUUGAUCAAUCCCCAGCUGAAAUGGUUCGUUUUGAUAGACAAAUUAGUUUUGAAAUUGCUGAUUCCAUUUCUGCCUUACGACCACUAUGCCUCUGCUGAUAGAAGAUGUUUGCGCAAUGAAAGAUGCUGAACAAAAAUCUGGUGAAAGGGGGCUAGAACUCCUCGUAGGGAGAUCUUACCCGCUGGUCAGAAAAUUGGGAUCCCUUCCACAUUGUUAUUGGAAUUGAUGGAGGAAGAAGUGGAAUUCUCUAGGAAUAAGUUUGCUGGGAGUCAAGCUGACCGGGCUGUGAAGGAAGAAGCUUACUGAAAAGCUGAAGAACACAAAAAUUAUAGGUGAUGGUUAUUUCUUUGCUUUAUGUACGUUUCGUUUUCUAUUUGUAUCGACUGACUUUGCAGAUAAAAGUGGGAAGAAAGAACGAGCAGCUAAAUCUGCAGGUGAAACCAAAACUAAAGGAGCUGCUGCUGUGGAAAAGGAAGUAACAAUCGACAGACUUGAUAUCCGUGUUGGGGUUAUCAAGGAAGUUCAGAAACAUCAUGAUGCUGAUUCUUUGUAUCUGGAAAAAAAUGAUGUCGGUGAAGAACCUAUAGGACUGUCGUUAGUGGUCUUCUCAAAUAUAUUCCUCUUGAAGAGAUGCAGAACCGCAAGGUUUGUGUUCUCUGCAACCUAAAGCCAGCAACCAUGAGGGGAAUUAAAUCACAAGCUAUGGUUCUUUGUGCUUCCACUAGUGAUAACGUUGAAUUUGUGGGUUUGACGGUGAGCCGGAUGAUGUUCUAAACCCUAAGAAGAAGACGCUGCAAGUGGAUCUACUACAUUCAGACAAGAAUCUUGUAGCCUGCUAUAAAGAUCUGCCAUUCACAACUUCUG
Helianthus annuus (common sunflower) is the source of this 908-nucleotide long non-coding RNA. RefSeq lists it as uncharacterized. Lineage: Eukaryota; Viridiplantae; Streptophyta; Magnoliopsida; Asterales; Asteraceae. The transcript is spliced from 6 exons. The record is from RefSeq and is a predicted model, not a curated record.